Molecule: long non-coding RNA, 2402 nt
Filed under: Equus caballus (horse)
Lineage: Eukaryota; Metazoa; Chordata; Mammalia; Perissodactyla; Equidae
Description: lncRNA (ENSECAG00000054749.1)
Source: RNAcentral
GCAAGACUGACAGGCUGUUUGACGUACUGGCCCUCACAGCCUGGUUGGAAAGGACAGACAGGCAGCAACCAAUUACCUAGGAGAUACGUAAAAGCAAUUUUGUGUUGAGUGUGGAGAAAGACGGCAUUUCCUGUUAGACUUGGUGACUUAGGCAGUGAUGUUGAAGCUGAGAGCAGAUGCCUAAAAGAAAAGGAGGACCUGUGCGGGAGAGUGUUGGGACAGGGCAAGGGAGGAGUAGGGCCUGUCAGAGGAGCUGAAAGCAUGCCCUGGAGACUGGGGCCGCCGCGUAGGGACUGCAGGGUGGGGAAAAGAAAACCUUUCGAUUGAGGCUGGCGCUUUCUCUAGGUUUUUGGGGACUAAGCGUGGUGAUUCAGAACAGAAAAGUAGAGAGUCGUGUAAGCAGAGCACGCCUUUCCUUGACUCUCUGUCGAGAGCUUUUGUGAUUCCAGCUGCUCUCUGCCUCAGACACGGUGCCCUCUGCGUGUGCAGUCAUCUAAACAGUUCAGGUCUGGGACCGUGGAGAAUCCAAGGCGGUAUAGUCAUGCUUUGCUUAACAGUGGGGAUGAGUUCUGAGGAGUGUGUCAUGGUCAGGCAAUCUCGAGACUGUGCAAACACCACGGAGUUCCUAAACCUGGAUGGCAGAGCCUCCUACACACCUAGGCCAUAUGGGACUAAUCUGAUGAGACCCCCGUUGUUGACUGAAACGUCCCGAUGUAGGGCAUGACUGUACUUCCCAACUCCAAGGGCACGGAAGUGUAGCCUGUGGGGCUUUGGAAAAGAACAGAGACGCUCAAGGCCUACUCUGGACCCACUGACUCAGAAUCUACUGGGAUAGGUCCCGGCUUUAAAGACCAGACGUAGUCCUCCUCUGCAGACAUCUCAUCAACGGUUUUUCACGCUGGGUUUUCCCUCAUCUGAGAAAACAGGCCAAGAGAUUUCAGACGUGGUACUUGAAAAUAGGCUGCUAAGACUGAUGUCAAAGAGCACACUGCCUAUGUUUGCUUGUAGACGUUGCAUGGUUUCGGGUAUGUGCCCCACACUUGAAAGCAUGGAAGAGAAAGCGUGAGGCUGGAGGGUGCUCCGUUCGUUCCCUCCUUGCACAGAAAGUCUGGAGAGUUGACUUUGGGACAAGUCCUUCCUUUCCUCUGGUCGGUGCGUGUUCAGUGGUCUGGACACUUGGUGAGCAAGACUGACAGGCUGUUUGACGUACUGGCCCUCACAGCCUGGUUGGAAAGGACAGACAGGCAGCAACCAAUUACCUAGGAGAUACGUAAAAGCAAUUUUGUGUUGAGUGUUGAGAAAGACGGCAUUUCCUGUUAGACUUGGUGACUUAGGCAGUGAUGUUGAAGCUGAGAGCAGAUGCCUAAAAGAAAAGGAGGACCUGGGCGGGAGAGUGUUGGGACAGGGCAAGGGAGAGGAGUAGGGCCUGUCAGAGGAGCUGAAAGCAUGCCCUGGAGACUGGGGCCGCCGCGUAGGGACUGUAGGGUGGGGAAAAGAAAACCUUUCGAUUGAGGCUGGCGCUUUCUCUAGGUUUUUGGGGACUAAGCGUGGUGAUUCAGAACGUGGCCUCUGGAGCCAGACUCUGUCACAUGGGUCCUGGCUCUGCCACCUACGGGCUGUGUGAACUCGGGCAAGUUACUGUACCAUUCUGUGUGUCAGUUUCCUGAUCUGUAAAACGGGGAUGAUUAUCAUACACACUCCAUAGGUGAGUGUAAAGGUGAGAGGAUAUUUCAUAUCCGUAAAGUACUUAGAGCAGUGUCUGGCCUUUAGCAGGCGUUAGUAGUGGUUGAUUCAAGAAAUGGCUAAAUGCAUACCUAACUAUUCAAGGCUUGGAGGCUGUCCCUGGUGAAACGUGUGAACUUGAAUGGAUUACACCCAACUUUGUUUUGUUUUGUUUCCUUUCCGGCUUGCAGUUGCUACUGACCGCAUCUGCAGCACUGUGGAAUUAGAAAUAAUCUGCCUCGACUUGGCUGCUCUUGGUAAAACAAUCUAAUGCUGUCCAAAUUAUCCCAGGGAAAUAAAAGCCUUUUCAGUAGCAUAGGAGGGUUAGGCUUAUUUAAUAUGUAUUGUUUAUAUUGGUUUGUUUAGUGUUUGUUGGUAACUUUGUGUUUUUUCUUUUUUUUUUUUUUUUUGGCAAAGCUGCUCGGUUAAGAAAAGCAGAUUAGCUAGGAAAUGGUUCAGACCCAGAGAAAAGUAGAGAGUCGUGUAAGCAGAGCACGCCUUUCCUUGACUCUCUGUCGAGAGCUUUUGUGAUUCCAGCUGCUCUCUGCCUCAGACACGGUGCCCUCUGCGUGUGCAGUCAUCUAAACAGUUCAGGUCUGGGACCGUGGAGAAUCCAAGGCGGUAUAGUCAUGCUUUGCUUAACAGUGGGGAUGAGUUCUGAUGGAGUGUGUCAUGGUCAG